ACUUUACCAUGCGGGCAACCGUGAUAAGGAAACCCCGAGUGCCAGCACAGGCUGGCUGUCCGCCAGUUUAAACAACUGGCGAAGAAAGGGCCGGGCAAGACCGGUGCCAGCCGCCGCGGUAAUACCGGCGGCUCGAGUGGUGGCCGCUUUUACUGGGCUUAAAGGGUCCGUAGCUUGAUUCACAAGUCCCUUGAGAAAUCCAUCGGCUUAACUGAUGGGCGUUCAGGGGAUACUGUGGUUCUAGGGACCGGGAGAGGUGAGAGGUACUGCCGGGGUAGGAGUGAAAUCCUGUAAUCCCGGUGGGACCACCUAUGGCGAAGGCAUCUCACCAGAACGGGUCCGACAGUGAGGGACGAAAGCUGGGGGAGCAAACCGG
RNAcentral lists this ribosomal RNA (376 nucleotides) under uncultured archaeon. RNAcentral describes it as "bacterial SSU rRNA". It matches the Rfam family "Archaeal small subunit ribosomal RNA", at positions 347 to 727 of the family's 1478-position model. The record is from RNAcentral.